Molecule: ribosomal RNA, 515 nt
Filed under: Bifidobacterium bifidum
Lineage: Bacteria; Bacillati; Actinomycetota; Actinomycetes; Bifidobacteriales; Bifidobacteriaceae
Description: bacterial SSU rRNA
Rfam family: Bacterial small subunit ribosomal RNA
Source: RNAcentral
GGUAAUGCCGGAUGUUCCACAUGAUCGCAUGUGAUUGUGGGAAAGAUUCUAUCGGCGUGGGAUGGGGUCGCGUCCUAUCAGCUUGUUGGUGAGGUAACGGCUCACCAAGGCUUCGACGGGUAGCCGGCCUGAGAGGGCGACCGGCCACAUUGGGACUGAGAUACGGCCCAGACUCCUACGGGAGGCAGCAGUGGGGAAUAUUGCACAAUGGGCGCAAGCCUGAUGCAGCGACGCCGCGUGAGGGAUGGAGGCCUUCGGGUUGUAAACCUCUUUUGUUUGGGAGCAAGCCUUCGGGUGAGUGUACCUUUCGAAUAAGCGCCGGCUAACUACGUGCCAGCAGCCGCGGUAAUACGUAGGGCGCAAGCGUUAUCCGGAUUUAUUGGGCGUAAAGGGCUCGUAGGCGGCUCGUCGCGUCCGGUGUGAAAGUCCAUCGCUUAACGGUGGAUCUGCGCCGGGUACGGGCGGGCUGGAGUGCGGUAGGGGAGACUGGAAUUCCCGGUGUAACGGUGGAAUGU